AAAAAGAUAAGCUAAAUUUAAGCUAUUGGGCCCAUAACUCAAUUAUGAUUUUUAUAAUCUCUUUUUA
RNAcentral lists this transfer RNA (67 nucleotides) under Bambusiphaga maculata. Its description in RNAcentral is "tRNA-Met". The record is from RNAcentral. Lineage: Eukaryota; Metazoa; Arthropoda; Insecta; Hemiptera; Delphacidae.